This 586-nucleotide ribosomal RNA is filed under the name uncultured bacterium. RNAcentral describes it as "bacterial SSU rRNA". It matches the Rfam family "Bacterial small subunit ribosomal RNA", at positions 102 to 674 of the family's 1533-position model. The record is from RNAcentral.
ACGGGUGAGUAACACGUGGGCAACCUGCCCUUGAGACUGGGAUAACUUCGGGAAACCGGAGCUAAUACCGGAUAAUAUAAGGAACCUCCUGGUUCCUUGUUGAAAGAUGGUUUCGGCUAUCACUUAAGGAUGGGCCCGCGGCGCAUUAGCUAGUUGGUGAGGUAACGGCUCACCAAGGCGACGAUGCGUAGCCGACCUGAGAGGGUGAUCGGCCACACUGGGACUGAGACACGGCCCAGACUCCUACGGGAGGCAGCAGUAGGGAAUCUUCCACAAUGGACGAAAGUCUGAUGGAGCAACGCCGCGUGAGUGAUGAAGGCCUUCGGGUCGUAAAGCUCUGUUGUUAGGGAAGAACAAGUGCGAGAGUAACUGCUCGCACCUUGACGGUACCUAACCAGAAAGCCACGGCUAACUACGUGCCAGCAGCCGCGGUAAUACGUAGGUGGCAAGCGUUAUCCGGAAUUAUUGGGCGUAAAGCGCGCGCAGGUGGUUUCUUAAGUCUGAUGUGAAAGCCCACGGCUCAACCGUGGAGGGUCAUUGGAAACUGGGGAACUUGAGUGCAGAAGAGGAAAGUGGAAUUCCAAGU